This 489-nucleotide ribosomal RNA is filed under the name uncultured bacterium. Its description in RNAcentral is "partial 16S ribosomal RNA". It matches the Rfam family "Bacterial small subunit ribosomal RNA", at positions 28 to 507 of the family's 1533-position model. The record is from RNAcentral.
GAUGAACGCUAGCUACAGGCUUAACACAUGCAAGUCGCGGGGCAGCAUGGGGGUUGCUUGCCAUCCCCGAUGGCGACCGGCGCACGGGUGAGUAACGCGUAUCCAACCUGCCCUUCACCACGGGAUAACCGGCGAAAGUCGGACUAAUACCGUAUGUUGUCCAUUGACGGCAUCCGAUUUGGACGAAAGGCUUGGCGGUGAGGGAGGGGGAUGCGUCCGAUUAGCCAGACGGCGGGGUAACGGCCCACCGUGGCUACGAUCGGUAGGGGUUCUGAGAGGAAGGUCCCCCACACUGGAACUGAGACACGGUCCAGACUCCUACGGGAGGCAGCAGUGAGGAAUAUUGGUCAAUGGGCGUAAGCCUGAACCAGCCAAGUAGCGUGCAGGAUGACGGCCCUAUGGGUUGUAAACUGCUUUUAUGCGGGGAUAAAGUGGCCCACGUGUGGGCUUUUGCAGGUACCGCAUGAAUAAGGACCGGCUAAUUCCGUG